RNAcentral lists this transfer RNA (37 nucleotides) under Inula salicina. Its description in RNAcentral is "partial tRNA-Leu". The record is from RNAcentral. Lineage: Eukaryota; Viridiplantae; Streptophyta; Magnoliopsida; Asterales; Asteraceae.
AAAAUCCGUCGAUUUCAAAAAUCGUGAGGGUUCAAGU